RNAcentral lists this ribosomal RNA (253 nucleotides) under uncultured prokaryote. Its description in RNAcentral is "partial 16S ribosomal RNA". It matches the Rfam family "Bacterial small subunit ribosomal RNA", at positions 524 to 776 of the family's 1533-position model. The record is from RNAcentral.
UACGUAGGGUGCAAGCGUUAAUCGGAAUUACUGGGCGUAAAGCGUACGCAGGCGGCUAUGUAAGACAGGUGUGAAAUCCCCGGGCUUAACCUGGGAACUGCAUUUGUGACUGCAUAGCUAGAGUCUGUCAGAGGGGGGUGGAAUUCCACGUGUAGCAGUGAAAUGCGUAGAGAUCCGGAAGAACACCGGUGGCGAAGGCGGUCUGCUGGGGUGAUGCUGACACUGAUGCGCGACAGCGUGGGGAGCAAACAGG